This 1518-nucleotide unclassified non-coding RNA is filed under the name Hevea brasiliensis (rubber tree). The record is from RNAcentral. Lineage: Eukaryota; Viridiplantae; Streptophyta; Magnoliopsida; Malpighiales; Euphorbiaceae.
AAAUUGUGUGGUUAGAAUACAGGUAUGCACUCUGCAAAUCUGUAUAUAUAGUUUCAAUUUUUGAUACCCAUUUUGAAUCAAUACCCGAGAAUUGUCUUAUUUCACGUAAUUUGCGUUUCUGGGUAAAUUUGGAGCUAUAUAAUCCAAAGUGGACGGCUUGAUCCUUAAUUGCUACUUCUUGUAAGUGUUUGUGAUUGUUUCCUUGCUGCGUAUUUAGUAAUUUUUCCGCCCUUGAGUUUCAAUGCAAUUUACUUUUCUCCAAUGAGUGCAAUGCAGAAAAGAGAUUUGCGGAAUUCUGGUUUAUUUCACAGAAUUGCACUCUGUUGUGAAUCCCUUUUGUUUUUGGGUGCUUUGAUAUUGAUCAAUUAUGCAUCUAUACAAGUUGUUUUGAUAUUUUAUUUUCAUUUUUUCCAUCAACUAAUUAAAGCUGCUAUAAAAUGAGCGUGUAUAAAAUCCUUCUAUUGUUACUAAUGGCAUGUGCAUCUGGGCCUUUAUUGAAAUUUUUUCUUACCUCUUAGGCUCAUCCAUUUUGCACCUUAAGGAACAUAAGAUGAUUCAUGAAAAGAAUUUCUAUUUUGCCCUUCGGUGACCAGUGUUUGUUGGAAUUUUGCUUGUAGCUCAGGCUCAUCCUUCCAUAGUUAUUGUAUAAUUUCCAACCUUCUUUUACCUGUGGAUAACUAGUUAUAUACUUGGGGUUGUGAAAGGAUAUCUUUGAGAAUGGUUAGAGGUCCAACUGUGUAUCUCAGCGACAGCUGUGGAAAUCUGCUUGGCGGGCAUUUCAUAUAACACUGUUGUUAGAGGAUUUUUUUUGGGUCCUCUAUUCAAGCAACAGCUGUGUAAAUAUGGUUGUGGAAUGUAUUGAGAAAUCAAGUUACCCACUUAAAUAUAAUUACAUAAAUUUAAGUUUAGUUUAAGUGGAUCAUCUAUAAAAUUCAAGAACAGAAAAACCAAUUCACAUGAAUUUGGUUCGUUUACCAUUUCCCGCAAGAAUGCAGUUUGUGAUUGAACUUUUUUCUUAGUUCUUACCUCCUUUUGUCUGGAGCCAGCUUUUAUUUUUUGUUUCUAUUUCUUUUUGGGGGGAUGGUGGGAGAAUGCCUAGAUAGCAGAAGGGAAUAGAUAGAAUUUGAGUAUUUGACACUUCAAUCUCAUUUAAAUGGGUUGUUCUUUUUUAGUAUGCUUCCAUAUAGCUGGAUAUCUGAUAUAAUUGGAUCUGCCAUUCUUGUCCUGUUGCAUAUUGUUUCUGUCUCAUUUAGUUCUUUUAAUACUCUUUUUAUUUAUUCAUCGGUUAGAGGAUAGCUUAUUCUUGCAAUUGUAUUUAAUUCUUUCUUUUGUAUAAAUAUUUUCUUUUAUUGGUGAAGAAAAUGGAGUCUUGUGGAUUAUUUCGAACAUUCCUUGAAUGACAUGAGAUGUUGUAUUUAUGUACCUUGUACAGAUUCUGGAUAAAUCAGAUUGUUAUCCAGGAUGUGGGACUGAUGAUGAUGAUGAUUAUGACCUUGCACUUCAAAAGGCUUGAUUGUG